Long non-coding RNA from Capsicum annuum, 1081 nucleotides. RefSeq lists it as uncharacterized. The transcript has 2 exons. NCBI's taxonomy places the organism in Eukaryota, Viridiplantae, Streptophyta, Magnoliopsida, Solanales, Solanaceae. The record is from RefSeq and is a predicted model, not a curated record.
AAAAAAAGUUGAUAAGCCAUGACUUUUUCACCCUCCCUCUCUGUCCUUCUUCAUUUGCUUCUCCUUUUCUAUUCUUUUUGAAUUUAUUUUAUUUUUUAUAGAUGUUUUUUAUAUCUAUUGAGAGCACAAAGAAAUUUUUUUUUUGUGUUGUUGAUAAGUUUAAAUUAGAUUUGGGUUUGCCUUAUGAUUAUUUGUUGAGCUUUUUACCUGAAUUUCCUGCAAUUUGUUGAUAAGUUUUGUGUUUUUAUUAUUUGCUGCCUCAUGAUUUGGGCGUGGCAUAAUUCGAUUUGUUGCUAAGUUUAUUUGUUGAUAACUAUGUUGCAAAGGCAUAAUUCGAUUUGUUGCGAUUUGUUUAUAUUAUUUGUUGCCUCAUGAUUUGGGUUUUGUGUUGUUGAUAAGUUUCUGUUGAGCUUUUUUUUCUGCGAUGGAGAAAAGGAUGAAAAGUGAGGAUUUUAGGAGUGGAAAAAUAGUGCAUAUAAGUUAUUCGAUGAAAUUUUCAAGAGGGUUUGACUUGCAGAAAAGGUGAAAAGCGGAGAAAUGGACAAUAAGAGUGAUUAUUAAAGAAGACGGAGAGGAAGAAUGUUUAUUGAGUUAUAAAAAUUACUCUCUGUAUAAGUUUCAAAGUGCUUUAAAAUCAAGAAAUGGAUGUGAAGAAGAUGACAUCAACAAUGGGGUGAAGAAGAUGACAGCACGGGGAAAACAUGCAGGACUUCAGGACGACGAACAAAUGCAAUAGAACAACAUUAUGAAAAAGACACAAAAAAGGAGCCAGACUUACUUCAGGUUUGCAAGCCUUACAAAGAGAACCAAGAGAACUAGCAAGAUGAGCAGCAGAAGAAGAAGAAUCAGAGGAGCCCUUAUAAUUACUACAAUGAGAAGAACUAGAAGCAGAAGAAUGAGGAACAAUGUGAAGAAGAGUAAGAAUAUCUCCUUUAUUAGUAACAUGUGUAAGUGCCCACAUCAUAGCAUGUUUAGUAUAUGAACUUUGAUCUACAACCACCAUUACUCUCUUCCUCAUAACUAAGCCACCAUUAUACCCUCCUCCUCCUCCACACAUAUUUUUCAACCCCGCUUCCAUUUG